UUAGGUCAACUGAAACCUGCCAAGACCCCCCGCCUGUCACGCGGGAGACCGGGGUUCGAUUCCCCGA
RNAcentral lists this transfer RNA (67 nucleotides) under Xiphophorus maculatus (southern platyfish). It matches the Rfam family "tRNA", at positions 7 to 64 of the family's 71-position model. Rfam says of the family: Transfer RNA (tRNA) molecules are approximately 80 nucleotides in length. Their secondary structure includes four short double-helical elements and three loops (D, anti-codon, and T loops). Further hydrogen bonds mediate the characteristic L-shaped molecular structure. tRNAs have two regions of fundamental functional importance: the anti-codon, which is responsible for specific mRNA codon recognition, and the 3' end, to which the tRNAs corresponding amino acid is attached (by aminoacyl-tRNA synthetases). tRNAs cope with the degeneracy of the genetic code in two manners: having more than one tRNA (with a specific anti-codon) for a particular amino acid; and 'wobble' base-pairing, i.e. permitting non-standard base-pairing at the 3rd anti-codon position. The record is from Rfam by way of RNAcentral. Lineage: Eukaryota; Metazoa; Chordata; Actinopteri; Cyprinodontiformes; Poeciliidae.